AGUGAACGCUGGCGGUAGGCCUAACACAUGCAAGUCGAACGGCAGCACAGUAAGAGCUUGCUCUUACGGGUGGCGAGUGGCGGACGGGUGAGGAAUACAUCGGAAUCUACUUUUUCGUGGGGGAUAACGUAGGGAAACUUACGCUAAUACCGCAUACGACCUACGGGUGAAAGCAGGGGAUCUUCGGACCUUGCGCGAUUGAAUGAGCCGAUGUCGGAUUAGCUAGUUGGCGGGGUAAAGGCCCACCGAGGCGACGAUCCGUAGCUGGUCUGAGAGGAUGAUCAGCCACACUGGAACUGAGACACGGUCCAGACUCCUACGGGAGGCAGCAGUGGGGAAUAUUGGACAAAGGGCGCAAGCCUGAUCCAGCCAUACCGCGUGGGUGAAGAAGGCCUUCGGGUUGUAAAGCCCUUUUGUUGGGAAAGAAAAGCAGCAGGUUAAUACCCCGCUGUUCUGACGGUACCCAAAGAAUAAGCACCGGCUAACUUCGUG
This 492-nucleotide ribosomal RNA is filed under the name uncultured bacterium. RNAcentral describes it as "partial 16S ribosomal RNA". It matches the Rfam family "Bacterial small subunit ribosomal RNA", at positions 29 to 507 of the family's 1533-position model. The record is from RNAcentral.